Molecule: ribosomal RNA, 253 nt
Filed under: uncultured bacterium
Lineage: Bacteria
Description: partial 16S ribosomal RNA
Rfam family: Bacterial small subunit ribosomal RNA
Source: RNAcentral
UACGUAGGGGGCAAGCGUUGUCCGGAUUUAUUGGGCGUAAAGAGCGUGUAGGCGGCCAGAUAGGUCUGCUGUGAAAACUCGAGGCUCAACCUCGAGAUGUCGGCGGAAACCAUUUGGCUAGAGUCCGGAAGAGGAAAGUGGAAUUCCUGGUGUAGCGGUGAAAUGCGCAGAUAUCAGGAGGAACACCGGUGGCGAAGGCGGGUCUCUGGGCCGAUACUGACGCUGAGGAGCGAAAGCGUGGGGAGCGAACAGG